UAAACAGCCAAAUAAGACAGAAUAGUAAGGAUGUUAAAAUAUGCCAUGUUCUGGUUAAUUAUUAUUUCCUUGUAAUAAUAAGAUCAGAAAGGAAUUCAGGGACUAAAAUAUUGACAUAAGUCAUAAAUAACCUGAAGUUUGAGUUAUUUAUUUCUAUGCUACCAUUGCUGUAAGGUAAUUAAGAAGUGCUACUAUUCACAAUAGCAAAGAAUUGGAACCAACCCAAAUGUCAAUAAUAGACUG
Molecule: long non-coding RNA, 243 nt
Filed under: Homo sapiens (human)
Lineage: Eukaryota; Metazoa; Chordata; Mammalia; Primates; Hominidae
Description: HSALNT0168842
Source: RNAcentral